This is a long non-coding RNA of Solea solea (common sole), 499 nucleotides long. RefSeq lists it as uncharacterized. Lineage: Eukaryota; Metazoa; Chordata; Actinopteri; Pleuronectiformes; Soleidae. The transcript is spliced from 3 exons. The record is from RefSeq and is a predicted model, not a curated record.
UCUGGCUCGCCAUUGUUUUGAUCUCUCCUGCAAAAAACUGCAGCUCUUUCUUCCGACCUAGACAAGAGAAGAUCAACAUGUUCAUCACAUUAUUGCCCCCGUAAGAGACGAUGUAAAGUCUGUCUGUGGGGACUAACGUUCAAAAACUUCACAUGGAUGCUUUGGAGAAACAAAAACUCUCCUUGUGUGUGUGGGGGGUUUCUCCGGGGUUCUUUUGUUUCCUCCCACAGUUUAAAAACAUGCAGAUUAUGGGAUUGGCACCAGCGACCCUCAUGGUGAGGAUAAAGUGGUAGACAAUCUUCCUACUGCUGUGUCCAACACCAUCUUCUUGAGACUCUGGAUCUCCUCAUGGAUUUCAUGUGCCUCCAUAACAGAAAAAAAGGGGUAUCUGUUAAAUCAUCCAUCAACAAACAGUAAAGGUAACUUUCACCCAAGUCACCCUCAUUCAUUUGAGCAGCGCCACCUCGAGGAGGCAUCAAGUAGCAAUGCCCAGUAAGUG